GCCUAUGAUUAAAUUAUAUCCGAAUUUUUUGAGGUGUUUUGGAUCCAAGCCCCUGUUUACAGGGAGAACCUACUUGGUGAAGAUACAUUCAUAUGACAUUAAUGGAUUGAAUGAGGC
This 117-nucleotide small nucleolar RNA is filed under the name Trifolium pratense (red clover). RNAcentral describes it as "snoRNA snoZ278". It matches the Rfam family "Small nucleolar RNA Z278". From Rfam's summary of the family: snoZ278 is a C/D box small nucleolar RNA. The record is from Rfam by way of RNAcentral. Lineage: Eukaryota; Viridiplantae; Streptophyta; Magnoliopsida; Fabales; Fabaceae.